Molecule: non-coding RNA, 1096 nt
Organism: Danio rerio (zebrafish)
Lineage: Eukaryota; Metazoa; Chordata; Actinopteri; Cypriniformes; Danionidae
Source: RefSeq, a predicted model, not a curated record
CAAAACAAGGUACCCAAAAUGUGGGUGGGGUAUUGCGGGGGUGUGUGUCUGCGGGAAAUAACAUCCUGGCUGUGGAUAAAUCAAGAAAGCAAUGAUAGAUCUUCCUGUCAUUAUGUAGAAAAACACGAUCUAUUCAUAUCUGUGUGCGAUUACUCAUGCGAUGGGAAAUGCGAUUUGCACUGCGUUACUACAAAUAUCAUAUCACUUACAGCUCUUGCUCGCUAGCGCACAAAGAGGCAGCCAUUUUGUCUGGCUCCCUCUCAAUGUGCCUCCAUUGGUAUUGUAAGCCUCGUUUUAUGCAUUGUUUAUGAUGCCACACCAAACACAUUCUCAUUUUGUCCAGAAAAUGCACAUUCUGAAGGAAUACCGAAGAUUCCCGUCUUUGCUUAGAAUGUUUAAGACACCAUUGAGUGAUGGCUACGCCACAUGCCUCCCUUCUUUUCUUUCUUUUUUACGCACACACACAAAAAUGCAGCAAAGCGCCCAACAUGGGACAAGAUGAGACUCAUUGAAGAGCCAAUCUCACACCUGCUCCCCCACCCACCAUGUCCACACACACACACACUUUCGUUUGCUCUCACACUGAGCUUGUUGUCCAGAGGUGACUUUAUCCUGAAUUGACAAAGUCAGCCAGAAGUGGAAAUCUAGGUUGGACAAAAAAUGUUAAAGCGAAUAACUAGUCAAGUGACACGCCAGUGGAUGUAUUAAUCAAACGAUGAUAUAAUCUCUUUGCUUCAUUAGGACUUCAAUCAGGCCGGGUCAGCGCUGAAGUUUCCACAAGUAUAUUUUCACAGGAGAGCACAAGAUCCAUAUGACCGUCUAUUUUCUGCCAACACAGCAACAUGAAAAUCCAUCAUCUGCAACUCAUGAUCGCCCUGGAAUCGGGUUUGUGGGAUGCCGCUGUCAGCCGUGACGUAGUGGGGGGGUUUGCAACAUGCUGUGGAUGUGAUCCAGGAGUGAAUAAAUAAAAGAUAAGGACCUGAGAUUCACAGCCAUUAAAGCUGUGACAUUAUGUAAGCAUAUAGGUUUUGUUUUUCUGUCUGUCUCACCAAAUGGAUCACCAUGUGGUCCACCUCUCUUCAAAAUGUCUUUUUUU